Molecule: transfer RNA, 77 nt
Filed under: Escherichia coli
Lineage: Bacteria; Pseudomonadati; Pseudomonadota; Gammaproteobacteria; Enterobacterales; Enterobacteriaceae
Description: tRNA-Pro
Rfam family: tRNA
About the family: Transfer RNA (tRNA) molecules are approximately 80 nucleotides in length.
Source: RNAcentral
CGGUGUAUAGCGCAGCCUGGUAGCGCAUCUGGUUUGGGACCAGAGGGUCGCUGGUUCGAGUCCAGCUACACCGACCA